AGCAGCAGCCACGGUAAUACGAAGGGUGCAAGCGUUAAUCGGAAUUACUGGGCGUAAAGCGUGCGUAGGCGGUGAGUUAAGUCUGCUGUGAAAUCCCCGGGCUCAACCUGGGAAUGGCAGUGGAUACUGGCUCGCUAGAGUGUGUCAGAGGAUGGUGGAAUUCCCGGUGUAGCGGUGAAAUGCGUAGAGAUCGGGAGGAACAUCAGUGGCGAAGGCGGCCACCUGGGACAACACUGACGCUGAGGCACGAAAGCGUGGGGAGCAAACAGGAUUAGAUACCCGCGUAGUCCCUGUCUCUUAUAC
Molecule: ribosomal RNA, 303 nt
Filed under: uncultured bacterium
Lineage: Bacteria
Description: partial 16S ribosomal RNA
Rfam family: Bacterial small subunit ribosomal RNA
Source: RNAcentral